CGCGGCACCGUAAAGGUAGCCGUGAUGGAGCAGAAGUCAGCAAAAGCCAUAGUAGGCGUCGGACGCCGUCCCCUUGCGAUUGGACGGCUGGAAACAAGCCCGGCACAGAGAGCCGGGAAGCCUUACCCCGCCGAAGGGC
Molecule: non-coding RNA, 139 nt
Organism: Geobacteraceae bacterium GWC2_53_11
Lineage: Bacteria; Pseudomonadati; Thermodesulfobacteriota; Desulfuromonadia; Geobacterales; Geobacteraceae
Source: Rfam